Saccostrea cuccullata (small rock oyster) is the source of this 773-nucleotide long non-coding RNA. RefSeq lists it as uncharacterized. Lineage: Eukaryota; Metazoa; Mollusca; Bivalvia; Ostreida; Ostreidae. The transcript has 2 exons. The record is from RefSeq and is a predicted model, not a curated record.
UAUCGAAGAUGAACGAACUGGUACUCUUUAAUUACCAUGAUUAUAUGCCGGGGAGAAAUUAUUUGAGGAAUUAUCAUGCCGAGUUUGUGUAUACAUUUAUAUAUAUAUCCUUUCUCAUUUAAUGUAAAUACAUGUGUGUUGAAGGAUGGGCCAACAUUGUAAAAUUUGGACAGAAAUUAAGACGCAAGCAUAAGAACUACAUUGUAUUUUAGUCUGAAUAGAUGUGUCCCUACGGAGGCAGCUAACAGAAAGUGGGAUAUAAUUAAGAUUGAAUUGUGAAUUUGCUCUGUGUCACCUCUAAAUGGCAGAAGAAAACUCAACUCAGCACAACCAGAAACACUUUUCUGAAGAAAAUUCUGCCAAGAGACAGUUGUGAGGGGAAUUGUGUAGAUAAUCUCCAGAAAAGAAAUCAACACUGAUAUUGGGAUGUAUGUACCAAUAUUUUACAAUCAUCAAAGACAAAUUUACCGCAGGAAUAAAAAAAAUUGUCUGGCGUUCAAGGACUUGCCAUGGUGGAAGCUCUCCUGAAAAAAUAUUCCAUUUAUUGUGGACAUCAUGACAUAGGGCUCACCUGUCAUCAGCAUUAGAGACUUAUGUGAUUUGUUCUACCUGGGCCAUACAUGUAUUGAAUGAAAACAAUUCAUAGAACCACAAGCACAUUGUAAAUCUAUGUAAGGUCUUCUAUGUAUGUUGCAUCCUUAUUUAAUUAGCUGUUUUAUAACAAGACUUUGUUUCAUUGGUACUAAAACUUAAUACACACAAAAAACCAAAAA